AGCCUUUCUUUGGACUUCAGGAACAGAAAGCGUACGAUUUUGGAAAGGUAUACACCAUGGCACAGCAACAACAAUAGUCGUUGAACAGAAACCUAGGACAACAUAAAUUAACUGAGCCAUUACAGUAGCAUCAUAACUACCUGUACUGAACGCAACAUCUUGAUAUUUAGUGAUAUAAUGUAAAACCAGCCACCCUGGGAACAAGUGCAUCAAGGAAACUAUGGUCAUAAAGUUCUUUUUUGAACGUCGGGACCACAUAAGAGAAACUAAGCUUAAAUUGAU
RNAcentral lists this unclassified non-coding RNA (282 nucleotides) under Hevea brasiliensis (rubber tree). Lineage: Eukaryota; Viridiplantae; Streptophyta; Magnoliopsida; Malpighiales; Euphorbiaceae. The record is from RNAcentral.